GAAAUAUGUCUGAUAAAAGAGUUACUUUGAUAGAGUAAACCAUAGAGGAUAAAACCCUCUUAUUUCUA
Molecule: transfer RNA, 68 nt
Filed under: Furipterus horrens
Lineage: Eukaryota; Metazoa; Chordata; Mammalia; Chiroptera; Furipteridae
Description: tRNA-Ile
Source: RNAcentral